GAUGAACGCUGGCGGCGUGCCUAAUACAUGCAAGUCGAGCGAACGGACGAGAAGCUUGCUGCUCUGAUGUUAGCGGCGGACGGGAGAGUAACACGUGGAUACUCCACCUAUAAGACUGGGAUAAUUUCGGGACACCGGAGCUAAUACCGGAUAAUAUUUUGAACCGCAUGGUUCAAUAGAGAAAGACGGCCGUGCUGUCACUAAUAGCUGGAUCCGCGCUGUAUUAGCUGGUUGGUAAGUUAACGGCUUACCAAGGCGACGAGGCAUAGCCGACCGGAGAGGGUGGUCGGCCACACGGGAGCGGGGACACGGUCCAGACUCCUACGGGAGGCAGCAGUAGGGAAUGGUACGCAAUGGGCGAAAGCCUGACGGAGCGACGGCGCGUGAGUGAUGAAGGUCUUCGGAGCGUAAAACUGUGUUAUUAGGUGAGAACAGAUGUGUAAGUAGCUGUGCACAGCUUGACGGUACCUAAUCAGAAAGCAACGGCUAACUACGUG
RNAcentral lists this ribosomal RNA (497 nucleotides) under uncultured bacterium. RNAcentral's name for it is "partial 16S ribosomal RNA". It matches the Rfam family "Bacterial small subunit ribosomal RNA", at positions 28 to 507 of the family's 1533-position model. The record is from RNAcentral.